UCCUUAGGAUGCAGAGACCACCAACAUACUCCUUCCUGACUUCAUUGUACCCAACUGGGAUGACAUAAGGGCUUCCCACGUGGCGCUAGUGUUAAAGAACCCUCCUGCCAGUGCAGAGGAGAUAAGAGACGCGGGUUCGAUCUUCUUGGGAAGAUCCCCUGAAAGAGGGCAUGGCCACCCACUCCAGUAUUCUUGCCUGGAGAAUCCCAUGGACAGAGGAGCCUGGCGGACUACGGUCCAUGGGGUCACAGAGUCAGACACGAUGGAAGCAACGCAGCACACAUGCCCACAAGAUGACAAUAAAUAAGGCCGUUCUGUUUCCAGGACACCCAAAGCAUCUCAGGAAGUGUCAGAAGAUUCUCAGAGAGGGUUGUUGAGAGGCGGUGCAGGACCCAGAGGGAGAACAGACGAAAGCUGAAUUUCGCUGACGUGGAGAUGACCUGGGAGCCAAAGAUCUGACUUCGGUUCCUGGUUUUUGCCCCUUCCCGCCUCUUGGGCUUGACUCUUUUCUUUCUCUUGUCCUCUGAGGCCUCAGUUUCCCCGCCUGAGAUGUGCAGCCAGAACAAUUUGCUAAUCCACCGCCCAUGGAUGCGCGGAAAAAAUAUUUUGAAUUCCCACCAUCUUUUUUUCCUUUGAAUGAACUUGUUUAUCCGCUGGUCAGGGUCAGAGAGGGUCGAGGAGGAGGAGCAGCGAGGGGAGUGCCAUCCAGCUAAGCUGACAUGACGCGUUGGAAGGUCAGAGCCCACGGACCCCUGGACAGAGGGCCGUGUUGUUGGGCUUCGGAGUGCCCUUCUGGAAGCCAGUGGCCGGGUCUGAUGCAAGCGUGCCAGGAACUCCUGGGCCUGAAGGUCUGCAAACUGAACGCCUAUUUCUGUGACCCUUCGUGGGACUCACGGCCCUGGCUCAGCUGCCCAGCUCUCAGUGAGCCGAGGAGAUGGUCACAAAAACCAGUGGUAGCCCAGUCAUCCUGACAAUGUCUGGGGUCCCUCCAACACCAACCCUCAGCUCUCCUGCCUCCCAGACCUUGGAGCAUCUCACUCUGCUCCGGGUGGUCUUGGAAUCAGUUACUGAGGGGUGAACGCUCAUGAGCCCAUUUCAGAGUUGGUGAAACUGAGGUCCAAGCAGGACAGACAGCGUGACGCCUUCCUUAAGCCCAGUUCCCGGCGCUAGAGAACACAUUCAUUCAUUUUGCAAAUAUUUGUGAGUUCUUGCCAGGCACAGGGCUGGAUGAUGCAGAUGUCAUGAGAUGGGGUGCGGGGGGGAUGUCUGGGGAGGUUGUCAUUCCUUUGUCUGGCUCGCGGUCCGGGGGUGGAGACACAUGUGCGGCAAAAUCUCCAGAGUAAAAUUAAACUGGAAACUGGGAUAAGCACUGCGACGGGGACGAAAGAGAGCUUGGAACAGCCCGUGUGGUCUGGGGAGGUCCUGUGGGCUUCCCUGAGCUUCCUCAGAUUAGUGCUUCUGAUAAUCAGGCUGAAAUCUGAUCAUGGAGAGAGGGCUAGGGCUGAGCACUUUCCAGACAGAGGGAACGCCAUGUUUGGAGGCUGGCAUGUGGACCAAGCAGGGUAAGACAGAUCACAGGAAGAAAGUCCACGUGGCCGGAG
Bos indicus x Bos taurus (hybrid cattle) is the source of this 1601-nucleotide long non-coding RNA. NCBI's taxonomy places the organism in Eukaryota, Metazoa, Chordata, Mammalia, Artiodactyla, Bovidae. The record is from Ensembl.